CACACCGUAAACGUUGGGCGCUAGGUGUGGGAUCCAUUCCACGGGUUCCGUGCCGUAGCUAACGCAUUAAGCGCCCCGCCUGGGGAGUACGGCCGCAAGGCUAAAACUCAAAGGAAUUGACGGGGGCCCGCACAAGCGGCGGAGCAUGCGGAUUAAUUCGAUGCAACGCGAAGAACCUUACCUGGGUUUGACAUACACCCUGCCGCUCCAGAGAUGGGGUUUCUUUUGGGGGUGUACAGGUGG
Molecule: ribosomal RNA, 243 nt
Filed under: uncultured Nocardioides sp.
Lineage: Bacteria; Bacillati; Actinomycetota; Actinomycetes; Propionibacteriales; Nocardioidaceae
Description: partial 16S ribosomal RNA
Rfam family: Bacterial small subunit ribosomal RNA
Source: RNAcentral